GUGUUUCCCUCAGCCUAUCCUCUGUGUUCUCCUGUCUUGUGCUCCAGCCCCUUCCCCAGGUGUGUCUUGUUUGAUGAUUAGUUCUUGUCUAUUUAAGUCCUGUUUGAGUUCUGUUCUUCGUCGGUUCAUUGUGCUGUAUUGUCCUGUUCUGUUCUGUGCUGUGUUGCAUUCUGUUUCCUGCUUCCCGCCUGAGUUUUUCGUGUUCCCUGCAUCACCUGCAAGUCUAUUAAAUAUUUUGUUGCCACUGAGCUUUUUUCCUGCCUGCGGCUCCUGCUUUUGGGUCCUCCACCUUCCUCCAGCCCCGUGACAAAGAGAGUGUAUUUCGUAGGAAUAGGUAAAGAUAACAAAGGACCUCCAGAGCCAUUAUUGUAAGCAUCAAUGUGUGAUCAGACUGUGCAGACCUGCUAGGAGGAGAAAUCUUACCUUUCACAGAACUAAACGCUGGUUCAGAUGUUUUGUCUCCAGCAGCAGAAGCAGCUCCUAUCCCACCUGACAGCCGAGGACAUGACCGACUGGUGACAGAGCAGGCAUCUCGGUGACGGUCUCCACCUGUUCGUAGCGUGGCUUACCACUGGUCCAGGGGCGGACAGACUGCUCUGCUGGAGGCCCGCUGUCGCGUGGUUGUCUGUUGACUUGCAUCUUGAUGGGUUUACUCCCGCCCUCCACAGUGAGGUUGCACUGUGGCACAGCUUGAGGCUACUGAUCCAGGAUCGGCUGCUGCUUUGGCUCGGCUCUGUUUGUGUGUGUUUAUGCUCCCUCUCACGGGGUUAAGUCGCCGGCCAGCCGCUGGAGCUGCGAGCCGCUAACCCGCGGCGAUAAGGACCGGUUCUGUCCCCGCAGGCAGUGCAUGGCCGGACCUCACACCCCGGAAGCCGGCCCUAUAAUAAUACAGAAGCGCCUGCAUAGUGUGGAUCUGCUUUUAAGUUGUUUAAUCGUUUAGAGAGUUGCCUUGAGUUAUUUUUUGUUUUGUUUGAGUGAAUUGUUAUUGGUUUGUUGUCUUUCAAGUUAAACAUUUUUUUUUAUAUUGAUUAUUGUGGAGUUUCUUGUUUAUUUUCCCUUUUCUGUUUAUUUGUUGUUAUUUCUUUUUUGUUAAUAAACAUUUCUUUAUUGAAAUGUCUCUGCCUG
Molecule: long non-coding RNA, 1125 nt
Organism: Myripristis murdjan (pinecone soldierfish)
Lineage: Eukaryota; Metazoa; Chordata; Actinopteri; Holocentriformes; Holocentridae
Exons: 5
Source: RefSeq, a predicted model, not a curated record